AGUGAACGCUGGCGGUAGGCCUAACACAUGCAAGUCGAACGGCAGCACAGUAAGAGCUUGCUCUUACGGGUGGCGAGUGGCGGACGGGUGAGGAAUACAUCGGAAUCUACUUUUUCGUGGGGGAUAACGUAGGGAAACUUACGCUAAUACCGCAUACGAUCUACGGGUGAAAGCAGGGGAUCUUCUGACCUUGCGCGAUUGAAUGAGCCGAUGUCGGAUUAGCUAGUUGGCGGGGUAAAGGCCCACCAAGGCGACGAUCCGUAGCUGGUCUGAGAGGAUGGUCGGCGACACUGGAGCUGAGACGCGCUCCAGGCUCCUACGGGAGGCAGCAGUGGGGAAUGUUGGACAAUGGGCGCGAGCCUGGUCCAGCCAUCCCGCGUGGGUGAAGAAGGCCUUCGGGUUGUAAAGCCCUUUUGUUGGGAAAGAAAAGCAGCAGGUUAAUACCCCGCUGUUCUGACGGUACCCAAAGAAUAAGCACCGGCUAACUUCGUG
RNAcentral lists this ribosomal RNA (492 nucleotides) under uncultured bacterium. Its description in RNAcentral is "partial 16S ribosomal RNA". It matches the Rfam family "Bacterial small subunit ribosomal RNA", at positions 29 to 507 of the family's 1533-position model. The record is from RNAcentral.